AGGACAAACGCUGGCGGCGUACCUAAGACAUGCAAGUCGAACGGAGCUUCCAGCUUCGGCUGGGAGUCGAGUGGCGAACGGGUGAGUAACACGUAGGAACCUAUCAUCGAGUGGGGGAUACCGCUGGGAAACCGGCGUUAAGACCGCAUGAGGUCCCCGAGCAAUCGGGGAGCAAAGCUGGAAACGGUGCUGGAUGAGGGGCCUGGCGGCCGAUUAGCUGGGUUGGUGGGUAACGGCCUACCGAAGGCGACCAUCGGUAGCUGGU
This 265-nucleotide ribosomal RNA is filed under the name uncultured bacterium. Its description in RNAcentral is "partial small subunit ribosomal RNA". It matches the Rfam family "Bacterial small subunit ribosomal RNA", at positions 26 to 291 of the family's 1533-position model. The record is from RNAcentral.